AGGACGAACGCUGGCGGCGUGCUUAACACAUGCAAGUCGAGCGGAAAGGCCCUUCGGGGUACUCGAGCGGCGAACGGGUGAGUAACACGUGAGCAACCUGCCCUUAGCUUCGGGAUAGCUCCGGGAAACCGGAAUUAAAUACCGAAUAUGAUUUUUGCUGACAUCAGCAGAAGUGGAAAGUUUUUCGGCUAGGGAUGGACUCGCGGCCUAUCAGCUAGUUGGUGAGGUAACGGCCCACCAAGGCGACGACGGGUA
Molecule: ribosomal RNA, 255 nt
Filed under: uncultured bacterium
Lineage: Bacteria
Description: partial small subunit ribosomal RNA
Rfam family: Bacterial small subunit ribosomal RNA
Source: RNAcentral